UGGGGAAUAUUGCACAAUGGGCGAAAGCCUGAUGCAGCGACGCCGCGUGAGGGAUGACGGCCUUCGGGUUGUAAACCUCUUUCAGCAGGGACGAAGCGCAAGUGACGGUACCUGCAGAAGAAGCACCGGCUAACUACGUGCCAGCAGCCGCGGUAAUACGUAGGGUGCAAGCGUUGUCCGGAAUUACUUGGCGUAAAGAGUUCGUAGGCGGUUUGUCGCGUCGUUUGUGAAAACCAGCAGCUCAACUGCUGGCUUGCAGGCGAUACGGGCAGACUUGAGUACUGCAGGGGAGACUGGAAUUCCUGGUGUAGCGGUGAAAUGCGCAGAUAUCAGGAGGAACACCGGUGGCGAAGGCGGGUCUCUGGGCAGUAACUGACGCUGAGGAACGAAAGCGUGGGUAGCGAACAGG
Molecule: ribosomal RNA, 409 nt
Filed under: bacterium
Lineage: Bacteria
Description: partial 16S ribosomal RNA
Rfam family: Bacterial small subunit ribosomal RNA
Source: RNAcentral